Molecule: non-coding RNA, 85 nt
Filed under: Prorocentrum micans
Lineage: Eukaryota; Dinophyceae; Prorocentrales; Prorocentraceae
Source: RNAcentral
UUUUCUUUUUUUUUUUUUUUUCUUUGCUCUUUAUUUGUUUUUUUUUCAAGCAGAAGACGGCAUACGAUAUUGCACGUGACAAGUA